CGACCAUCACGUUCUCACUGCGACCCAACUACGCUUCCUCUACGACUAUACCACGCUGUUCAAGACCAUAGUACGAUUCUAGUACGCCCUUGCCGUCCUCAUCACGCUCUUCUUACGACCUGACUACGUUCACACUACGAUCAUCAUUCUCAUUGUCAUUUUCACAUAAAAUAUAUAAAAAAGCUCCCUAGAUUUUUUUUGUUUGAAUGUAAUUAUCCAUUUGCUCUAACGGCUCAACCAUGCUUCUCGUUUUUAUAUAGAUUAGACCGUUGGUUUUCCCGUUUAAAUGGUUUAACACUAGUAAUAUAACGUGCUGAUUGAUGUGAGCCAAGGCUCCGCGUUGAAGGCCGUACCUUGGCCUAUAAUGGUUUACUUUUAUAAAUUGUUACUUGGAUGGAGAGUUGUCUCAUUGGCACUCAUACCACAUCUUCCUAUAUAUAUUGAUACAUCUAUGUCAUCUCUGUUAUCGUUCACUAAAUAUCGUCAUUGAGCUUCAUGGACCAGCAAUAGGUUGUAAUUUAGGUUGGAUUGGUCGGUCCGACAUCUCUGCUUGAUCAGGAUUCGUUACUUUGCUCCCUCUGCCUCUACAUCAACUCCUACCACUAUGCCCACGUGUUCUGGUAGAUUUUGGUGGCAUGACUGUAUUGUUUCCGAGAAAUCUACGAUUUAAUCAGAAAUAGAAGGAAUUGAACUGUAUUGAUAUGGAACACGAUGUUGACGUUAUUGCUGAGAACGUAGUAAGAUCGCGCUAUGAGUAUGAACGUAGUAUAAUCGUGGUAAGAACGUGUAAUAAUACCAGUAAGAUCGUGUUGCAAUCGGAUAACUCGUGGUAUGGUCGUAGUGAGAACGUGGUAUAAUCGUAGCGGGAUCUUUGUAGAAGCGUAGAGAGGACGUAGUAGCAUCGUGAAAGCAACGAAAAUUUACAUUUUCAUGCCGCUCAUACCGCGACCUCACCACGAUCUAAAUUUAUUUUAGAUCGCGUGAGCGUGGUGCGAUCGUGGUCUAGUGGGACUGGGGCUUAAACA
Molecule: long non-coding RNA, 1025 nt
Filed under: Mytilus galloprovincialis (Mediterranean mussel)
Lineage: Eukaryota; Metazoa; Mollusca; Bivalvia; Mytilida; Mytilidae
Source: RNAcentral